GGCUAUGGCCAUGCUACCCUGAACGCGCCCGAUCCCGUCUGAUCUCGGAAGCUAAGCAGGGUCAGGCCUGGUUAAUACUUAGAUGGGAGACCACCCAGAACGACCAGGUGCUAUAGGCA
RNAcentral lists this ribosomal RNA (119 nucleotides) under Pteropus alecto (black flying fox). Lineage: Eukaryota; Metazoa; Chordata; Mammalia; Chiroptera; Pteropodidae. The record is from RNAcentral.